This 98-nucleotide small RNA is filed under the name Symbiodinium sp. clade D. Its description in RNAcentral is "partial Cyanobacteria transfer-messenger RNA". Lineage: Eukaryota; Dinophyceae; Suessiales; Symbiodiniaceae. RNAcentral also lists the same sequence under 1 other name. The record is from RNAcentral.
GCUUCUGCCUGCGGCGCUUCUGCCUGCGGCAGUACCGCUUGCGGCAGUACUGCUUGUGGCGGGGCCUGCGGAGGCCGACGCCUGCGCGGAGAGAGCAG